Pipistrellus kuhlii (Kuhl's pipistrelle) is the source of this 4447-nucleotide long non-coding RNA. RefSeq lists it as uncharacterized. The transcript has 2 exons. The record is from RefSeq and is a predicted model, not a curated record. NCBI's taxonomy places the organism in Eukaryota, Metazoa, Chordata, Mammalia, Chiroptera, Vespertilionidae.
ACGCGCAGCCCCGUGCAUACCGCCCCCGCGCCGCACGGCUCUGAGACCCUGGAAGCUGCACCGGCCGCGGCUGACGGGGUUCGUUCCCCGGGCGCUCGGCCCCUCCAUCCCCCACGCCCCACCGGAGCCAGCUGAGCCCGGGCUGCGGUGCCCGGCUCCACCACUGACCGGAACUGCCCGCCUCCCGGCCGCCUCCCCCUCGGCGCCCACAGUCCGCGUUCUGGCCGCCCGAGUGCCCUCUGAGCGCGGUGCGCCCGCCCCCACGCCCCGGCCGCCAGACUGCAUGCGGAUCCUGGCUGGGCACCCUCCCCCGUGUGGCUGUCUGGCUUUCCAGGAGGGCAAAGUGGGGGUGGGGUGGGGUGGGGAGGUGCGUGGGUCGAUGGCAGAAAAAAAGCCACGUGGGGGGGGGGUUGACAAUUGGUUGCACCCAAAUCCUCAAGCGCCCCUCCCCCGGGGUCUGCAUAGGGUAAGCGUGCUGAGUGCCCUCCCUUGCCCCAUGCUCCUGUGAGGAAGGCAGGGUGGGGUGGGGAGGCACCCCAAGAUCCCAGGGGCUCUCGGGGGAGCAACUGGCGCUCCAGGGAUCGGACUCUGGUUUCAGGUUUGAGAGGAGGGAGCUUAUGGCGGGUAAACAGAGGCUGCGCCCCAGGCGUGGCUCAGAAGCAAAGCUGUAAGGAGGGGUUCGGCUCGCAGUGCUCCCCCCUCCCCGCAACAUUCGUGAGUCUCUGCUUUUCUGCCUGCCCCACCCCGGGGCGUCCCGAAACCGUCCCAGUGACCCCAGCCCGCAGCGUGGAUACGAGCAAACCUCCCCCCCCCCCCCCCUAGGAUCCCGCCCUCUGCCAACUCCGCAGCCGGGUAGAAGCGAUCCCAGUGGGAGCCCCAGUGGGGGGACGCGGCUGAUUUCGCUUUUGGAAAAGCCCUUGAUCCAGAGCAAGCCUAAGCCCACGUCCCCAGGCUGGUUGACCUACAAUUGGAGGGUGUGCGAGGGCGGGCUGGGGCGGCGCGUCUGCGGGAGGAAAACCCGCUUCAGAGUGGGCAGAGGAAGCCAAGCAAAAUGUCAGAUAAGAAGAGCGGAGAGGGAGGAAGAGAGGCGCUUAUUGCAGAGAGGGAGGUGGGAAGGCGCGGAGAAUGCACCGGCUGCCAGGUGACUUGGGGGCUAAGGAGAGAAGAGGCGGGUGCGUGGCGGGCACCUGACCUCCAGGUCCCCAGCCCAUCCCUCCCUGGAUCCUGGCGCGGCCAGACACCGCGGGUGGAGGAGACGGCGCGGAGCUGGGGCGGGAGUAGCGGUGGGGGGUGAGGACUGGGCGGGAGGGGCGGCGCGCGGGGACCAAAGAACUCAGCGCCCCAGGCCGCACCGGGCGCGCUGCACACCUGGCAUCCAGGACUCCCCAUCUGCUAGGAGCUCGCCUCCGCUGCGGCCAGGGGUGUGGGCUUGGAGAGAGAUAACGACACCGCCAGAGGAGUGGAUGGCUUCUGUCAACUGUGGCAAUGAACUCUAUGAAGGUUUAGGGUGCUCCUACUGUGUGCUGAGCGCAGGCUCCAGCUGCUGGGCCCAGGAACGGCACCGGCACCGACUCUGAUGGCAUCCUCACACUAGGAAAUAGUCCAGUGUAUAUCGUUGUAUAAUAAAUUAACCAUUGGAACAAUCUAUGCAAAUUCGCCGUGCCCAGGAGGGUGGUGGAAGCAGCCCGGGUUCUGGAGAAGCUGGGUCUGGCUGAGCAAGGCACAGACCGACAGGACGAUGGGUGAUUUUCCACUGCUUCCUGACGCAAGGAUGACACCCCCUUCCUGUCCCACAUUCCCACAAUACAGAGAUCAAAAUGAACAGUAACAAUUUAAAAUGUAGUUUAGUGAUAUACUUCAUCUGGGCUAGAACGGUUUGCAAAUAACUGAAGGCUGUCCUUAAACAUUCACAUCAUUAAUUUCACAAAUGUCAGACCUGGAACGCUGCCUUAUUGAAACAAGUGCUUUGUAAUGUAACUUGUGGUUGUAGUCAAUCCUCACGAGAGGACAUUUUUUUCCAUUGAUUUUUAGAGAGAGUGGAAGGGAUGGAGGAGGGCAAGAGAGAGAAAGAGAAACAUCUAUGUGACUCAUGGAUUGGUUGCCUCCUGGGUGAAAUCUGCAACCAAGGUAUGUGCCCUUGAACAGGAAUGGAACUCACAGACUGACACUAUAACCGCGGACCAACAAAUCAGGGCUGUAAUGUGUCUUUAUACUAUUCUGAGAGAAAAUUCAUGAAUAUAACUUACUAUGCAUUGUUCUGAGAACAACGCACCAUUGUUUUAAAUCGCCAUAAUGCUCAAACUACAAUAUAAAGGGGAAAUACAAGUUACAAAAUUAAUAAUAAAGUAAUAUACAUUUCAAAUGUGAAUGCUCUGGCUAUAUUUCACUGAAACACCCAAAAUACUGUCUAAAAUGCUUAACAUUCUUUCUAGGGAGUAUUACUGGCCCGAUGUGAAUCCUGCAUUAUGAGUUCCAGGCAAAUGCUAAAUAAUGGGAACGCUACUGAUAUUCUAAAUUCUUAACAUCGCAGUGGAUGUGGUAUUCUUGCCCUGAUGUGGACCCUUCCCCCAUUGACUCUGGAUUUGGUCAGGUGACUCGCUCUGGCUAAUAGCACAUUGGCAAGCAUGACCAGGCAGAAGCUUGGUGAGUACCACAUAUGCAGGUUUGUGCACCUGAAACCCUGAGAACAUGGGGUUGGGAAAAAGCCAGUCUAACUUAGUGGAAGAUGAAAGGCUUUACGGGCAAAGCCGAGAUAUCUUGCCACCUGGAGGGUCCCAGGCAUGCGACAUGCCGUCUUGGACUUCAGCAGGAGCAUCAGUUGGGGACAGCCACCUGAUUGAUCUCAGAUGAGUCCAGCGAAAGAAUCACUCAGAUUGACAACAGAACUAUGAGCACCAUUGCUUUAAAUCACUAUAUUUUAGUUGGCUUGUUGCAUAGUAAUAGAGGAUGGAGAAGUAUUAAUUACAAUGCCACCUGAUAGAUGCCAAAAUGAAAGUCCACCCAAGAAGGUUAUCUUUGCUUACUGACUCCAUAUCUUCCUUAUGAGUUCAAUAAAAAAACACACAAAUAAACAAACAAACAAACAAACAAAAAAACCCUCAUCUAUGCCUCUGGUGGAUGUAAGAGUGAAUUAGACUUCAGUAACCCCAAACAUCUUAUCUACGUUAGUUGCAAGUUGCGCUUCUUUCCAUUUCCCAGAUGUCCCUGAAAUUCCUUCUCCCCUCAGGAGGCCUGCAGCUCACCAGCAUUAUCCUGUUUCCUCUCUGUCUCUCCUGCUGCUGUCUGUAGCCUUUCUUGGCCAGCUCUUUUCUCUCCACUUUUUAAAAAAUUUUUCCUUCUUUCUGGUCUCAUUUCUCUCCAGUUUUUCUGCUAUUACAGCAACACUUAUUUAUUUAUGGUCAGUAAACAUAUAAACCAUAUUAAGCCCUCAAUAAUUUGCUUUCUUAGUGUACCUUGGCUUCCCCACUCUUUUCUUCCUCCCACAUUGCUUCUGCUUGUAAAUUUCUUUCAGUCAAGUGUUGGAGUGGGAUGGCUAUCAACUCUCUAGAUCUUGAAAAGUGUGGUGUUCACAUACAGGUUGUAAUUGGAAUGUCAUGGUAUGGUGUGUUAGUCAAGGUUCCCCAGAGAAACAGAACCAGCAGGAGAUAGGUAGAUAGAUCUCAAUGAUGGAGAGAAGUCCCAAGAUUUGCAAUCAGCAAGCUGGAGAGCCAAUAGUGUGGUUUCAGUCCAAACCAUAAGAGGUUUGAGACCAGGAAAAACUGAGACCAGGAAAAGUUGGGAGUUCUAAGGCAAGGGGAAAAAAACGAUAUCCCAGCAGGCAGGCAGGCAGGGGGAAUUCUCACUGAUUUGGGGGAAAGUCAGCCUUUUUGUCCUAUUCAGGUCUUCAACUGGUGGGAUGAGGCCCAGCCACAUUAGGAAUUGAAAUUCGCUUUCUCAGUUUAUUGAUUUAAGUGUUAAUCUCAUGAAAAACACCUUCAUAGAAACACUCAGAAUACUAUUAAAAAAAUUAUCUGAGCAACUGUGGCCCAGUCAAAUUGACAUGUAAAAUUAUGACACAUAUUUUCCAAAUUAAAAUGCAGACUAUCCAAGAAGAUACAGUAUUGAGCUACUUUGGCAAUAAUAGCUUACAGUACAGGUCUUAAUAGUAGCUUUUCUAGUCGGUUCAAGUAGGUUUUAGCAUGGGCAGGGAGGGUUGGAGAGAGGGAAUGAGCUGAUCACUUUGAGAAUGUAGUGGUCUCAGCUGAAGGAAAUAGUGUGAUAGAUGAGAAAAGGGAAAACUAAAGGCUAAAAUGUGUUGCCCUCUUUAAACAUAUAGCUUUAAUUCUUGAGACUGGAAAGUCCCUAUUCUUAAUAUGCUGUAUGGUAUAUUCAAGUUUAAGGUAUGAUAUAGCUUAGCUCAGAAUUGAUAUGACUAUCCUUUUUAUGUACAUGCUUCAAGGGUGAAAUG